RNAcentral lists this ribosomal RNA (253 nucleotides) under uncultured prokaryote. Its description in RNAcentral is "partial 16S ribosomal RNA". It matches the Rfam family "Bacterial small subunit ribosomal RNA", at positions 525 to 777 of the family's 1533-position model. The record is from RNAcentral.
ACGUAGGUGGCAAGCGUUGUCCGGAUUUACUGGGCGUAAAGAGCGCGCAGGCGGCCGAGUAAGUCGAAUGUGAAAGCCCCCGGCUCAACUGGGGAAGGUCAUUCGAUACUGUUCGGCUUGAAGAUAGGAGAGGGAAGCGGAAUUUCAGGUGUAGUGGUGAAAUGCGUAGAUAUCUGAAGGAACAUCAGUGGCGAAAGCGACUUCCUGGACCAAUACUGACGCUCAUGUGCGAAAGCGUGGGGAGCAAACAGGA